This 75-nucleotide transfer RNA is filed under the name Planctomycetota bacterium. Its description in RNAcentral is "tRNA-Thr". It matches the Rfam family "tRNA". From Rfam's summary of the family: Transfer RNA (tRNA) molecules are approximately 80 nucleotides in length. The record is from RNAcentral. Lineage: Bacteria; Pseudomonadati; Planctomycetota.
GCCAACAUAGCUCAGCGGUAGAGCAGCCGCUUCGUAAGCGGCAGGUCGUGGGUUCAAAUCCCACUGUUGGCUCCA